Molecule: ribosomal RNA, 460 nt
Filed under: uncultured bacterium
Lineage: Bacteria
Description: partial 16S ribosomal RNA
Rfam family: Bacterial small subunit ribosomal RNA
Source: RNAcentral
CCUACGGGAGGCAGCAGUGAGGAAUAUUGGUCAAUGGACGAGAGUCUGAACCAGCCAAGUAGCGUGAAGGAUGACUGCCCUAUGGGUUGUAAACUUCUUUUAUAUGGGAAUAAACUGUUCCACGUGUGGGUUUUUGUAUGUACCAUAUGAAUAAGGAUCGGCUAACUCCGUGCCAGCAGCCGCGGUAAUACGGAGGAUCCGAGCGUUAUCCGGAUUUAUUGGGUUUAAAGGGAGCGUAGGUGGAUUGUUAAGUCAGGUGUGAAAGUUUGCGGCUCAACCGUAAAAUUGCAGUUGAAACUGGCAGUCUUGAGUACAGUAGAGGUGGGCGGAAUUCGUGGUGUAGCGGUGAAAUGCUUAGAUAUCACGAAGAACUCCGAUUGCGAAGGCAGCUCACUGGACUGCAACUGACACUGAGGCUCGAAAGUGUGGGUAUCAAACAGGAUUAGAUACCCCAGUAGUC